Molecule: long non-coding RNA, 764 nt
Filed under: Marmota monax (woodchuck)
Lineage: Eukaryota; Metazoa; Chordata; Mammalia; Rodentia; Sciuridae
Source: RNAcentral
GGUCAACCCUGGGCAGAUCUCUAAGCCCCUGUAGUAGCUAUGGGCCUUACUAUAGUGGAGCGCCUGGGGACUGUGAGUGUAGGGGCUGAGCCAGCAUCUUCCUGACCAUCAGUGUUAAGGAUGACCCACGUCUCGAAGGUAAAUCUGUCCCCAAACCAGCCAUUUGCUGGACAUUGCAAUAUUGGUUGAGGCAGGAGAAUGCUUGCAAUCUUCAGCCAGAGAAUGUUGGGAGGAGGACUGAUGGGCAAUCAAAGACUCUUCACAAAGACUUGCUAAGGACCCAUCAUUGUAGCAUAAACAGUGAUUUUUCGGAGAUAAGAAGAGUUGCCAGCUUAAGUGGUUGGCAUGGUCAGUCAUGGGGCAAAAAAAAUCAGGGUUGUUUUGUGCAAGAAAUUAAUCUAUGGGUGUUAGGGUUUAGAUGUGAGGUGUCCCCCAAAAGCUCAUUUGUGAAACAAUGCAAGAAAGUUUAGAGAUGAAAUGAUUGGGUUGUAAGAGGUUUAACAUAAUUAAUGAAUUAAUCCCCAAUAGGGAUUAAUUGAAUGGAAACAGAAAGCAGGUUGGAUGUGGUUAAAGGAGAUAUGUCUCUGAGGAUUUUUCCUUUAGGGGAUUUAUUUUGUCCAUGGGGGGGGGGGUGUUUUCUUUCUCUCUCUGCUUCCUGAGGCUAUGUUUCCAGCUACUUUCCUCCUCUAUACCCUUCCCCAUGAUGUUCUGCCUCAUCUCAGGAAGUAUGGAGUUGGCCAUCUAUGAACUGAGAUCUCUGAAAC